Molecule: long non-coding RNA, 1564 nt
Filed under: Homo sapiens (human)
Lineage: Eukaryota; Metazoa; Chordata; Mammalia; Primates; Hominidae
Description: HSALNT0250343
Source: RNAcentral
AAAAGGGAACAGAGUUUUUGUUUUCUCUCUGUCAUCCUUAUGCUGAGGGACCUCAACCACCCCACUUAUUUUCUGGAUGUUAGUUUCUGCAUCUAUUAAAUGGAGAAUAUAAUGCUUGCAUGAUGUCUUUCCAGAAGCUGGUGAGAGAAAUGGACAGAGUUAGUAAUAUAAAAAUUAUAUGAAUAGGUCUAAAUAAUUGUGCAAAUAUCAGAGAACAUCAGUAAAAAUAUUUUCUUUUGGAUCUUGGUAUCCUCUUUAUUUCUUUUUUUUUUUUAUGUUUGAUCUGAGUCAACGAUUUGCUGUAGGGUCGCUGAUAUUUUCCUAAAGGUCAUGUUUAAUGAGUAGCAAAUCAAGGCAGAAAAAGAACACCCUGAUCUCAGACAUGUCCUACAGAGAGGCCCGUCACCCAGGUUUGUGCUUAAACUCAACAUCUUGACAAUCCUAGUCAGUCAACAGGAAAAGACAAGACGAUACUGUAUGAAAGUCUGACCAACAUAAAGGGUGCUACAAGGAUGCCCCCAAGGCUCAGGAUGUUGGAGAGUUGAGGCACCAUGAGUAACCACAAUGCAGAAUGAAGAAUAGUUCUUCUGGUGUGAGGAUCCACUGGGUUGCCACUGACCCAUUGCCUGAGGGUAUGCGAUGAAACCAGAAUCAGCAACUGUAGAUGGCAGCUCAGAAGGGGAAACGACACAUCUAAUAACCAACAGGAAUGGCUAUUAAUUAGCUGAAAUGACAAUAAUUAACAGAAAUGACAAGUCUAAUAAAUUUUCACUUAAGUGUUGUCACAUGGCACUUUGAGUUUUAGCUUUCCAUUUUAAAUAUUAAUCUCGGUGGGGUUUACUUUAGAUGAAGAGUCAUAUCAAGUAUGACUAUGGAAAUAAUUCUGUACAGACACUCCAUCAAAUUAUGUUUAAUCCAUUUCACUUAUGCUAUGAUCAGUAGAGAGUGUAUUAAAAGCUCACAUUGUCACCCUAAAAAUAUAUUCUUUUUGUGUGUAUCUAAUUUAUGCUGCUCAGAAACAUUCAGCCACAGGGAUCAGAGGGAAGGUGGUUGUUUUUAAUUUUCUUUGAUAUCUUCAAAGAUAGGAAAGUCUCACCCCUCUGCUCUUUCCCCCUCUUCAGCAACAGACAAAGAAGGUUAAAUCUUAUUAGCAUGUCCUAUAUAGCUAGUUGUAACCUAAGUGACCUGUCAUGGCACUAAAUGCCUACUAGAACUUUCUCUGUACUUGCAAGAUGGAAAUUUUAUGCAUCAAUGCUUUUAUGUAUGCAUCUGAUUUGGGAAGUUCACUGCUUUAUGGAUAUGAACAUUGUGAUCAAGUAAAUUGAUCUACAUAAUGGGAUUUUGUGUGUGUGCGUGCAUAUAUCUAUAUGGAUAUGGAUGUAUGCAAGUGUAUUCUAAGAGGAAAUAUAAUACAUGAAAUGUUAACUUUAAUGAUAUGAAAUGCAUUAAAUUCAAACUAUCUUGCAUGUGUAUGCAGAUGCAUUAUGUCUCUAUCAUUGUACUCUGCAGGGAUUUAAGGUAGAAAAAAUUCAUCGUAUUCUCUGAUGUGCCAUGCUAAAUAAGA